GACGAACGCUGGCGGCGUGCUUAACACAUGCCAGUCGAACGGAAAGGCCCUGCUUUUGUGGGGUGCUCGAGUGGCGAACGGGUGAGUAACACGUGAGUAACCUGCCCUUGACUUUGGGAUAACUUCAGGAAACUGGGGCUAAUACCGGAUAGGAGCUCCUGCUGCAUGGUGGGGGUUGGAAAGUUACGGCGGUUGGGGAUGGACUCGCGGCUUAUCAGCUUGUUGGUGGGGUAGUGGCUUACCAAGGCUUUGACGGGUAGCCGGCCUGAGAGGGUGACCGGCCACAUUGGGACUGAGAUACGGCCCAGACUCCUACGGGAGGCAGCAGUGGGGAAUAUUGCACAAUGGGCGGAAGCCUGAUGCAGCAACGCCGCGUGCGGGAUGACGGCCUUCGGGUUGUAAACCGCUUUCGCCUGUGACGAAGCGUGAGUGACGGUAAUGGGUAAAGAAGCACCGGCUAACUACGUG
This 468-nucleotide ribosomal RNA is filed under the name uncultured bacterium. RNAcentral's name for it is "partial 16S ribosomal RNA". It matches the Rfam family "Bacterial small subunit ribosomal RNA", at positions 28 to 507 of the family's 1533-position model. The record is from RNAcentral.